This 560-nucleotide ribosomal RNA is filed under the name Planomicrobium okeanokoites. Its description in RNAcentral is "bacterial SSU rRNA". It matches the Rfam family "Bacterial small subunit ribosomal RNA", at positions 359 to 917 of the family's 1533-position model. Lineage: Bacteria; Bacillati; Bacillota; Bacilli; Caryophanales; Caryophanaceae. The record is from RNAcentral.
ACAUCGCAUGGACGAAGUCUGACGGAGCAUGCCGCGUGAGUGACGAAGGUUUUCGGAUCGUAAAACUCUGUUGUGAGGGAAGAACAAGUACCAACUAACUACUGGUACCUUGACGGUACCUCACCAGAAAGCCACGGCUAACUACGUGCCAGCAGCCGCGGUAAUACGUAGGUGGCAAGCGUUGUCCGGAAUUAUUGGGCGUAAAGCGCGCGCAGGCGGUCCCUUAAGUCUGAUGUGAAAGCCCACGGCUCAACCGUGGAGGGUCAUUGGAAACUGGGGGACUUGAGUGCAGAAAAGGAAAGUGGAAUUCCACGUGUAGCGGUGAAAUGCGUAGAGAUGUGGAGGAACACCAGUGGCGAAGGCGACUUUCUGGUCUGUAACUGACGCUGAGGCGCGAAAGCGUGGGGAGCAAACAGGAUUAGAUACCCUGGUAGUCCACGCCGUAAACGAUGAGUGCUAAGUGUUAGGGGGUUUCCGCCCCUUAGUGCUGCAGCUAACGCAUUAAGCACUCCGCCUGGGGAGUACGGCCGCAAGGCUGAAACUCAAAUGAAAUUGACGGA